RNAcentral lists this unclassified non-coding RNA (211 nucleotides) under plant metagenome. Its description in RNAcentral is "partial contains small subunit ribosomal RNA, internal transcribed spacer 1, and 5.8S ribosomal RNA". The record is from RNAcentral.
UUUCCGUAGGUGAACCUGCGGAAGGAUCAUUCAUAAUAAAGUGCUUUAUGGCACUUUUUAAAAAUCCAUAUCCACCUUGUGUGCAAUGUUAGAUCUCGUCAAUCUUGGCGAGAUUUUUAUACAUCAACCCAUUCUUUAACUAAUUUGUCUGAAAAAUAUUAUGAAUACUUAAUUCAAAAUACAACUUUCAACAACGGAUCUCUUGGCUCUC